This 500-nucleotide ribosomal RNA is filed under the name uncultured bacterium. RNAcentral's name for it is "partial 16S ribosomal RNA". It matches the Rfam family "Bacterial small subunit ribosomal RNA", at positions 30 to 523 of the family's 1533-position model. The record is from RNAcentral.
AUUGAACGCUGGCGGCAUGCCUUACACAUGCAAGUCGAACGGCAGCACGGGAGCAAUCCUGGUGGCGAGUGGCGAACGGGUGAGUAAUAUAUCGGAACGUGCCCAGUCGUGGGGGAUAACGUAGCGAAAGCUACGCUAAUACCGCAUACGAUCUAUGGAUGAAAGCGGGGGAUCGCAAGACCUCGCGCGAUUGGAGCGGCCGAUAUCAGAUUAGGUAGUUGGUGAGGUAAAGGCUCACCAAGCCGACGAUCUGUAGCUGGUCUGAGAGGACGGCCAGCCACAGUGGGACUGAGACCCGGCCCAGACUCCUACGGGAGGCAGCAGUGGGGAAUUUUGGACAAUGGGCGCAAGCCUGAUCCAGCAAUGCCGCGUGCAGGAUGAAGGCCUUCGGGUUGUAAACUGCUUUUGUACGGAACGAAACGGCGAGCUCUAAUACAGUUUGCUAAUGACGGUACCGUAAGAAUAAGCACCGGCUAACUACGUGCCAGCAGCCGCAGUAA